RNAcentral lists this ribosomal RNA (371 nucleotides) under Chrysamoeba mikrokonta. RNAcentral describes it as "partial small subunit ribosomal RNA". It matches the Rfam family "Eukaryotic small subunit ribosomal RNA", at positions 30 to 411 of the family's 1831-position model. Lineage: Eukaryota; Chrysophyceae; Chromulinales; Chrysoamoebidaceae. The record is from RNAcentral.
GCUUGUCUCAAAGAUUAAGCCAUGCAUGUCUAAGUAUAAGCAUUAUACAGUGAAACUGCGAAUGGCUCAUUAAAUCAGUUAUCGUUUAUUUGAUGGUCCCUUACUACAUGGAUAACCGUAGUAAUUCUAGAGCUAAUACAUGCGUCAAACCUCGACUUCUGGGAGAGGUGUAUUUAUUAGAUGGAAACCAAUGCGGGGCAACCCGGAUUAUGGUGAUUCAUAAUAACUUUCAGAUCGAUCGCAAGAUCGAUGCAUCAUUCAAGUUUCUGCCCUAUCAGCUUUGGAUGGUAGGGUAUUGGCCUACCAUGGCUUUAACGGGUAACGGAGAAUUAGGGUUCGAUUCCGGAGAGGGAGCCUGAGAAACGGCUACC